GCCCUCACGUGAUGCAGAAAUGCCCUGGGAUGACCGUGACCUGCCCGGGUUGUAUUCGUACUGUCUGACGGAGGC
Small nucleolar RNA from Lepus europaeus (European hare), 75 nucleotides. RefSeq annotates it as small nucleolar RNA ZL2. The transcript has a single exon. Lineage: Eukaryota; Metazoa; Chordata; Mammalia; Lagomorpha; Leporidae. The record is from RefSeq and is a predicted model, not a curated record.